Mugil cephalus (flathead mullet) is the source of this 427-nucleotide long non-coding RNA. RefSeq lists it as uncharacterized. The record is from RefSeq and is a predicted model, not a curated record. The transcript has 2 exons. NCBI's taxonomy places the organism in Eukaryota, Metazoa, Chordata, Actinopteri, Mugiliformes, Mugilidae.
AAACCUUAUUCUACUGUAGUGGAUUCAUUGACAUUUUUUUUUCUCUAUCUUUGUUUGUCUUCCUAAAAAGACAUGAAUUUUUCUCUGACUUAAAGUCCAUCUUUCUUGUGUCUUUUAUCUUCCAACAGCCUAUUUGCCAAUAAUAGCUGGUGUAUCAUCAGCCCUGGUCAUUGUCUUGGUUGUGGUCUUAUCAGUCAUCUGGGCUUUGAAGAAAAAGCAAAGAAACAAUAAACCUAAAGAGGAAGAAAAUGACCAGGAAUUAACCUACGCUGAUGUCAGUAUCGUGCAGCAGCAGAGGAGGCAGACUGAGCAAAAGACAAAUGUGGAGGUGGAGUACGGUCAAGUCAAGUCACGACCCCGGAAGACUGAACCAACACAAGAUGAUUGUGUUUAUGCAAAGGUCUGUAAAGACAGAUAACUUAGAUUC